Molecule: ribosomal RNA, 548 nt
Filed under: Escherichia coli
Lineage: Bacteria; Pseudomonadati; Pseudomonadota; Gammaproteobacteria; Enterobacterales; Enterobacteriaceae
Description: partial 23S ribosomal RNA
Rfam family: Bacterial large subunit ribosomal RNA
Source: RNAcentral
GAAUCAGUGUGUGUGUUAGUGGAAGCGUCUGGAAAGGCGCGCGAUACAGGGUGACAGCCCCGUACACAAAAAUGCACAUGCUGUGAGCUCGAUGAGUAGGGCGGGACACGUGGUAUCCUGUCUGAAUAUGGGGGGACCAUCCUCCAAGGCUAAAUACUCCUGACUGACCGAUAGUGAACCAGUACCGUGAGGGAAAGGCGAAAAGAACCCCGGCGAGGGGAGUGAAAAAGAACCUGAAACCGUGUACGUACAAGCAGUGGGAGCACGCUUAGGCGUGUGACUGCGUACCUUUUGUAUAAUGGGUCAGCGACUUAUAUUCUGUAGCAAGGUUAACCGAAUAGGGGAGCCGAAGGGAAACCGAGUCUUAACUGGGCGUUAAGUUGCAGGGUAUAGACCCGAAACCCGGUGAUCUAGCCAUGGGCAGGUUGAAGGUUGGGUAACACUAACUGGAGGACCGAACCGACUAAUGUUGAAAAAUUAGCGGAUGACUUGUGGCUGGGGGUGAAAGGCCAAUCAAACCGGGAGAUAGCUGGUUCUCCCCGAAAGCU